GGUUAAGCGACUAAGCGUACACGGUGGAUGCCCUGGCAGUCAGAGGCGAUGAAGGACGUGCUAAUCUGCGAUAAGCGUCGGUAAGGUGAUAUGAACCGUUAUAACCGGCGAUUUCCGAAUGGGGAAACCCAGUGUGAUUCGUCACACUAUCAUUAACUGAAUCCAUAGGUUAAUGAGGCGAACCGGGGGAACUGAAACAUCUAAGUACCCCGAGGAAAAGAAAUCAACCGAGAUUCCCCCAGUAGCGGCGAGCGAACGGGGAGCAGCCCAGAGCCUGAAUCAGUGUGUGUGUUAGUGGAAGCGUCUGGAAAGGCGUGCGAUACAGGGUGACAGCCCCGUACACAAAAAUGCACAUACUGUGAGCUCGAUGAGUAGGGCGGGACACGUGGUAUCCUGUCUGAAUAUGGGGGGACCAUCCUCCAAGGCUAAAUACUCCUGACUGACCGAUAGUGAACCAGUACCGUGAGGGAAAGGCGAAAAGAACCCCGGCGAGGGGAGUGAAAAAGAACCUGAAACCGUGUACGUACAAGCAGUGGGAGCACGCUUAGGCGUGUGACUGCGUACCUUUUGUAUAAUGGGUCAGCGACUUAUAUUCUGUAGCAAGGUUAACCGAAUAGGGGAGCCGAAGGGAAACCGAGUCUUAACUGGGCGUUAAGUUGCAGGGUAUAGACCCGAAACCCGGUGAUCUAGCCAUGGGCAGGUUGAAGGUUGGGUAACACUAACUGGAGGACCGAACCGACUAAUGUUGAAAAAUUAGCGGAUGACUUGUGGCUGGGGGUGAAAGGCCAAUCAAACCGGGAGAUAGCUGGUUCUCCCCGAAAGCUAUUUAGGUAGCGCCUCGUGAAUUCAUCUCCGGGGGUAGAGCACUGUUUCGGCAAGGGGGUCAUCCCGACUUACCAACCCGAUGCAAACUGCGAAUACCGGAGAAUGUUAUCACGGGAGACACACGGCGGGUGCUAACGUCCGUCGUGAAGAGGGAAACAACCCAGACCGCCAGCUAAGGUCCCAAAGUCAUGGUUAAGUGGGAAACGAUGUGGGAAGGCCCAGACAGCCAGGAUGUUGGCUUAGAAGCAGCCAUCAUUUAAAGAAAGCGUAAUAGCUCACUGGUCGAGUCGGCCUGCGCGGAAGAUGUAACGGGGCUAAACCAUGCACCGAAGCUGCGGCAGCGACGCUUAUGCGUUGUUGGGUAGGGGAGCGUUCUGUAAGCCUGUGAAGGUGUGCUGUGAGGUAUGCUGGAGGUAUCAGAAGUGCGAAUGCUGACAUAAGUAACGAUAAAGCGGGUGAAAAGCCCGCUCGCCGGAAGACCAAGGGUUCCUGUCCAACGUUAAUCGGGGCAGGGUGAGUCGACCCCUAAGGCGAGGCCGAAAGGCGUAGUCGAUGGGAAACAGGUUAAUAUUCCUGUACUUGGUGUUACUGCGAAGGGGGGACGGAGAAGGCUAUGUUGGCCGGGCGACGGUUGUCCCGGUUUAAGCGUGUAGGCUGGUUUUCCAGGCAAAUCCGGAAAAUCAAGGCCGAGGCGUGAUGACGAGGCACUACGGUGCUGAAGCAACAAAUGCCCUGCUUCCAGGAAAAGCCUCUAAGCAUCAGGUAACAUCAAAUCGUACCCCAAACCGACACAGGUGGUCAGGUAGAGAAUACCAAGGCGCUUGAGAGAACUCGGGUGAAGGAACUAGGCAAAAUGGUGCCGUAACUUCGGGAGAAGGCACGCUGAUACGUAGGUGAAGCGACUUGCUCGUGGAGCUGAAAUCAGUCGAAGAUACCAGCUGGCUGCAACUGUUUAUUAAAAACACAGCACUGUGCAAACACGAAAGUGGACGUAUACGGUGUGACGCCUGCCCGGUGCCGGAAGGUUAAUUGAUGGGGUUAGCGCAAGCGAAGCUCUUGAUCGAAGCCCCGGUAAACGGCGGCCGUAACUAUAACGGUCCUAAGGUAGCGAAAUUCCUUGUCGGGUAAGUUCCGACCUGCACGAAUGGCGUAAUGAUGGCCAGGCUGUCUCCACCCGAGACUCAGUGAAAUUGAACUCGCUGUGAAGAUGCAGUGUACCCGCGGCAAGACGGAAAGACCCCGUGAACCUUUACUAUAGCUUGACACUGAACAUUGAGCCUUGAUGUGUAGGAUAGGUGGGAGGCUUUGAAGUGUGGACGCCAGUCUGCAUGGAGCCGACCUUGAAAUACCACCCUUUAAUGUUUGAUGUUCUAACGUGGACCCGUGAUCCGGGUUGCGGACAGUGUCUGGUGGGUAGUUUGACUGGGGCGGUCUCCUCCUAAAGAGUAACGGAGGAGCACGAAGGUUGGCUAAUCCUGGUCGGACAUCAGGAGGUUAGUGCAAUGGCAUAAGCCAGCUUGACUGCGAGCGUGACGGCGCGAGCAGGUGCGAAAGCAGGUCAUAGUGAUCCGGUGGUUCUGAAUGGAAGGGCCAUCGCUCAACGGAUAAAAGGUACUCCGGGGAUAACAGGCUGAUACCGCCCAAGAGUUCAUAUCGACGGCGGUGUUUGGCACCUCGAUGUCGGCUCAUCACAUCCUGGGGCUGAAGUAGGUCCCAAGGGUAUGGCUGUUCGCCAUUUAAAGUGGUACGCGAGCUGGGUUUAGAACGUCGUGAGACAGUUCGGUCCCUAUCUGCCGUGGGCGCUGGAGAACUGAGGGGGGCUGCUCCUAGUACGAGAGGACCGGAGUGGACGCAUCACUGGUGUUCGGGUUGUCAUGCCAAUGGCACUGCCCGGUAGCUAAAUGCGGAAGAGAUAAGUGCUGAAAGCAUCUAAGCACGAAACUUGCCCCGAGAUGAGUUCUCCCUGACCCUUUAAGGGUCCUGAAGGAACGUUGAAGACGACGACGUUGAUAGGC
RNAcentral lists this ribosomal RNA (2840 nucleotides) under Shigella flexneri. RNAcentral's name for it is "partial 23S ribosomal RNA". It matches the Rfam family "Bacterial large subunit ribosomal RNA". The record is from RNAcentral. Lineage: Bacteria; Pseudomonadati; Pseudomonadota; Gammaproteobacteria; Enterobacterales; Enterobacteriaceae.